Molecule: small nuclear RNA, 23 nt
Filed under: Arabidopsis thaliana (thale cress)
Lineage: Eukaryota; Viridiplantae; Streptophyta; Magnoliopsida; Brassicales; Brassicaceae
Description: snRNA_04514
Source: RNAcentral
GAUGGAAACGUGAGUUUCCAAAG